RNAcentral lists this transfer RNA (73 nucleotides) under Arenicella xantha. It matches the Rfam family "tRNA". Rfam says of the family: Transfer RNA (tRNA) molecules are approximately 80 nucleotides in length. Their secondary structure includes four short double-helical elements and three loops (D, anti-codon, and T loops). Further hydrogen bonds mediate the characteristic L-shaped molecular structure. tRNAs have two regions of fundamental functional importance: the anti-codon, which is responsible for specific mRNA codon recognition, and the 3' end, to which the tRNAs corresponding amino acid is attached (by aminoacyl-tRNA synthetases). tRNAs cope with the degeneracy of the genetic code in two manners: having more than one tRNA (with a specific anti-codon) for a particular amino acid; and 'wobble' base-pairing, i.e. permitting non-standard base-pairing at the 3rd anti-codon position. RNAcentral also lists the same sequence under 1 other name. Lineage: Bacteria; Pseudomonadati; Pseudomonadota; Gammaproteobacteria; Arenicellales; Arenicellaceae. The record is from Rfam by way of RNAcentral.
GGGCGCUUAGCUCAGUUGGUAGAGCAUCGCCCUUACAAGGCGAGGGUCAGUGGUUCAAGUCCACUAGCGCCCA